GAGUGAUCAAGUGUCUUAAGGGCAUUUGGUGGAUGCCUUGGCAUGCACAGGCGAUGAAGGACGUGAUACGCUGCGAUAAGCGUCGGGGAGGUGCGAAUACCCUUUGAUCCGACGAUUUCCGAAUGGGGCAACCCACCUUAGAUAGCUAGAAAAUUUGAAUUGUUGGCGCUUAUGCAAGAACAGUUCAACUUUCUAGUUAUCGUAAUAAGGUAUCUACACCUGAAUACAUAGGGUGUUAGAAGCGAACCUGGGGAACUGAAACAUCUAAGUACCCAGAGGAAAGGACAUCAAACGAGACUCCGCUAGUAGUGGCGAGCGAACGCGGACCAGGCCAGUGGCAAUAGGGAAUAAAGUGGAAGAACCUGGAAAGGUUUGCCGAAGUGGGUGAUAGCCCCGUACACGUAGAACACCUGUUGUCCUUGAGUAGGGCGGGACACGUGAAAUCCUGUCUGAACAUGGGUCGACCACGAUCCAAGCCUAAGUACUCGUGCAUGACCGAUAGCGAACCAGUACCGUGAGGGAAAGGUGAAAAGCACCCCGACGAGGGGAGUGAAACAGUACCUGAAACCGGAUGCCUACAAACAGUUGGAGCCCAAGGUUCGUCCUGGGUGACAGCGUACCUUUUGUAUAAUGGGUCAGCGACUUAGUGUAUCGAGCAAGCUUAAGCCGGUAGGUGUAGGCGCAGCGAAAGCGAGUCUGAACAGGGCGUUCAGUUCGAUGCAUUAGACCCGAAACCAAGUGAUCUAGCCAUGAGCAGGUUGAAGGUACGGUAACACGUACUGGAGGACCGAACCCAUAUCUGUUGCAAUAGAUCGGGAUGACUUGUGGCUAGGGGUGAAAGGCCAAUCAAACUUGGAGAUAGCUGGUUCUCCGCGAAAUCUAUUUAGGUAGAGCGUCCAGCGAAUACCCCCGGGGGUAGAGCACUGAAUGGGCUAUGGGGACUCACCGUCUUACUGAUCCUAAUCAAACUCCGAAUACCGGGGAGUACUACUGGGCAGACACACGGCGGGUGCUAACGUCCGUCGUGGAGAGGGCAACAACCCUGACCACCAUCUAAGGUCCCUAAGUUAUGGCUAAGUGGGAAAGGAUGUGAGGAUCCCAAAACAACCAGGAUGUUGGCUUAGAAGCAGCCAUCAUUUAAAGAAAGCGUAACAGCUCACUGGUCUAAAUAAGGGUCUUUGCGCCGAAAAUGUACCGGGGCUAAAGCCAUACACCGAAGCUGUGGAUGCACAUUUGUGCGUGGUAGCGGAGCGUUCCGUAAGCCUGUGAAGGGACAGUCGUGAGACAUCCUGGAGGUAUCGGAAGUGAGAAUGCUGACAUGAGUAACGAUAAAGGGAGUGAGAGACUCCCUCGCCGAAAGUCCAAGGGUUCCUGCUUAAAGUUAAUCUGAGCAGGGUUAGCCGGCCCCUAAGGCGAGGCCGAAAGGCGUAGUCGAUGGGAACCACGUUAAUAUUCGUGGGCCUGCAGGUAGUGACGGAUCGCGUGUGUUGUAAGGUCUUAUUGGAUUGAUCUUGCAGCGAAGCGGUUCCAGGAAAUAGCUCCUGCAUAUAGACCGUACCCUAAACCGACACUGGUGGACUGGUAGAGAAUACCAAGGCGCUUGAGAGAACUGCGUUGAAGGAACUCGGCAAAAUGCACGCGUAACUUCGGAAGAAGCGUGACCUCCAUUUAGGCAACUAGGUGGGGGUGGCACAGACCAGGGGGUAGCGACUGUUUACCAAAAACACAGGGCUCUG
This 1736-nucleotide ribosomal RNA is filed under the name Brucella anthropi. Its description in RNAcentral is "Ochrobactrum anthropi partial 23S ribosomal RNA". It matches the Rfam family "Bacterial large subunit ribosomal RNA", at positions 1 to 1825 of the family's 2925-position model. The record is from RNAcentral. Lineage: Bacteria; Pseudomonadati; Pseudomonadota; Alphaproteobacteria; Hyphomicrobiales; Brucellaceae.